Molecule: long non-coding RNA, 1211 nt
Organism: Ictidomys tridecemlineatus (thirteen-lined ground squirrel)
Lineage: Eukaryota; Metazoa; Chordata; Mammalia; Rodentia; Sciuridae
Source: RefSeq, a predicted model, not a curated record
UCCCGGGAUGGCGUGGCCUUGGGCACUGGGCACUAGCGCGUAGGGGUGCAAAGGUUGGGGCUGGAAACCAAACCUGACUGUUAACUUCCAACUUCACGGGGAGGAAAGUUGGGCGAACCCCAGCAAUGACUCUCCAGGAAACACUGGUCCCUGAACUCUGCUUGCCCCAAGUCUGAGCCUUCAUACAAAAGAUGCUGCAAAUUCCUGAGCUGGAAUGAUUUUGCUACUGCAAUCGUCUCUCUAAUGAAACUCUCCUAAGUCUAGGUUUGUUUUUGUUGACAUCCUCCAGUUGGUAAGUCUCGGCCUGCUGCCUGAAGGAGGGGUACGCUGUCUGCCACCAGGCUCCAUCAUCUAUACCCUUGGAUGAGAUGGGACACAGGCAAUCAUUGCUAGCUCACAGGUUUCUGGCACAAGGAUUUAUGAAAUCAUCACAACUGAGAACAGAAAAAAGAGACAGCCCUAGACUAGAGGCUGUUAAUUUGUUCCACUGUCUGAUUUCCAUUGGCCCCACCCUGAUUCCUCUGGGCUCUGGGUUUUGGGGAGAAAGCUUGUCCACUUGCCCCAUGUGGCAGAGCUCAGACUUCUCCCAUUGAUUUCUUUAAGGACUGCUUAACUCUGAAGGAAGAGCCUCCUCUCAGACAGCUGGGAAUAGUCCCCUCCCAAGCGCUGUUAGCAAUAAAUAACUGGGUAGACUAGACCCAUCCUUCAGUCAACUCAGAAGCUUCGUACAGCCUAGGGCAGAAGAGCCUCCUGACUCACCCUGAACUUCCUCUUCCCCAGCGGACAUAACACCCUCCCUGGUGCAGUCCUGGUAGCUGACCUUGCCAGCUUCUAGGGCAACUGUGCACAGGACUUAACUCCCUAAUGUCUUGGGCUGUCUGUAGCCACUGCAAUCGGUUUGGAAACACACACAAUGAUUAUUGCCCUCACCAUCUGGAUAAGGGCCAUUUUUAACCUGAGUAUACACUGUUCUUUAUGCUCCCAAGCCUCUCCCAUGAUACGAUCUCACAGAGCUGGCCAAGUCUCCUCUUUCUCUGACGACAUGAUCCCUUUCACAGGCACACACAGGUGAAGGUGGACACACACACCCUCAGUGGAAAACCCUCCUGGAGUGAGUCAUCCAGCCCUGAGGGCAGUUGGGGAGUCAGAAGCAGCUGGGGAGCUGGGAGUAUCCAAACCGCCAGAGUCUGGACCCUGGCCAGAGAGAGAGA